UUCCACCCAGAGGGAUUAUAAUUUAUUUUCAUUGCAGAUAUCAUGAAGAUGUCACAGAGUGAAAACUACUUCCAAAUGGAUGGAACCCAUAUCUGCUGAACACUGCCCUUGGCUUCAUUCUAUGUGCUGACCAGCAGACACCCUUUGCUUUGAACUGAGAUAUGUCACUGAUUUAAAGCUGCUGACAAGGUCUCAACUGUGCAAGCCUCUUUCCUCACAGCUCUAGGAACCCUGAAGAAGAAAAGAAGAAGGAGGAGGAGGAGGAGGGAGAGGAGGAGGAGGAGGAGGAG
Molecule: long non-coding RNA, 290 nt
Filed under: Rattus norvegicus (Norway rat)
Lineage: Eukaryota; Metazoa; Chordata; Mammalia; Rodentia; Muridae
Description: long non-coding RNA NONRATT033315
Source: RNAcentral